Molecule: ribosomal RNA, 220 nt
Filed under: uncultured Glomeromycotina
Lineage: Eukaryota; Fungi; Glomeromycota
Description: partial small subunit ribosomal RNA
Rfam family: Eukaryotic small subunit ribosomal RNA
Source: RNAcentral
CCAAUAGCGUAUAUUAAAGUUGCUGCAGUUAAAAAGCUCGUAGUUGGAUUUCGGAACCAAUAUGUUGGUUGUGCCUCGGUACGUACUGGCAUUGUUGGUUUCUCCCUUCUGACGAACUAUGAUGUCAUUAAUUUGGUGUCAUGGGGAAUCAGGACUGUUACUUUGAAAAAAUUAGAGUGUUUAAAGCAGGCUCACGCUUGGAAUAAUGAAAUAGGACGUU